CUGUUCUCUGACAUACGCUUGAUGACAGGCUUUGAUUGACGAGCAGGUAAAGGACUCAGAACUCUAAUAAGGGCGUGGUUGCCAGGGCGCUGCUCUUUGUGGCUCCAACCCAGGGUUCACCCGUGUGUGCACACAGUUCAAUUUAUUUCUCAGAGGAUUUUUUUUUUCUUUUACUCUAUUUAUUUUUGUCUUUCUUUCGUUUAACUGUAUUGUACCGUACAGCAGUCGUAACUCACUCGCUGACAAAUAAAUUUAUGGCUUUGGGAAUGUGAAGCUGUAGGUCUGAAAACAAAGGCAAACGGUUCCAGAAGCGUGUGCACGUUUUUCGUUACGCAUUUGUCACACAGAAGCCAAGAUAUGUCGUUAGGCAGAUGAAUAAAUUGUUGGAGGACUGAACCUGACAGACAGACAGACAGACAGACAGACAGACAGACAGACAGACAGACAGACAGACAGACAGACAGACGCGUGGAUGAAUGGACUGACAAACAAACUCAGGGAUGGGUGGACGGCUGGAUGGUCAGCCAAAGGAAACAAGAAAGGACUGGCGGUUCUCAGACGCAGCUUAGCGUGAAGAUGAAGCCGAAAGAGAAGAGCGACGAAGCCUGCACAUUAGCUCCUCGUCUCCUGGGACUCUUUGACGCGGGACCAUCACCAAGAUCCCACCGCCUGCCUGGUGUCGCAGCCCUCACCCACGGGCGUGAGGAGACCACCGCGGCACUUCCCCACGACCGAGCGAAGUGAUGGAGGGCGGUAAAGGCAGGGAGGGGCAGGCAGAGGUCCGUGCGGGCGUUUAUGGCAGGAAAUUGUCGACGCAUGCGUGGACCGACGACAAAGAAAAAGACGGAGCCAUGGACGGUCUCCGUGAGGAAGGACUAACAGCUGAUGGUGAGAGAUCACCCGGGAUGGACAUGGGCUGAGGGGCAAGCACCAUGGUGGUGACAGAUGCAGGUUAGUGGAUUGGACUGGACUGUGCUGGGUGUUAGCGUGGAAUGAAAAUAAAUUUUACACUUUGCAGCCAGAAAAUGUAAAGUGGGAAAAAAGAAGAAACUAAGGGAAGAGAUGGAGACAGAGGAGGAGAAACUAGAGUAGAUUGCUUUUAUGCAUAGAAGCUUCAUCAAGAAGGGCUGUAAUACUGACAGCAUGGCUCCUAUAAUGGCCAUAAGAUAAACAGCUUUGACAUCUUGGUAAUGUCGACAUCCCUUGGUCAUCGUCGGGUCGCUGUAAAUGUCGUUUGGUUU
Molecule: long non-coding RNA, 1241 nt
Organism: Pomacea canaliculata
Lineage: Eukaryota; Metazoa; Mollusca; Gastropoda; Architaenioglossa; Ampullariidae
Exons: 3
Source: RefSeq, a predicted model, not a curated record